This is a small nuclear RNA of Sciurus vulgaris (Eurasian red squirrel), 102 nucleotides long. Lineage: Eukaryota; Metazoa; Chordata; Mammalia; Rodentia; Sciuridae. The record is from Ensembl.
GUGUUUACUUUGGCAGCACAUACACCAAAUUGGAAAUGAUAGAGGUUAGCAUGGCUCCUGCACAAGGAUGAAAUGGAAAUUUGUGAAGUGUUCCAUAUUUAA